Molecule: ribosomal RNA, 738 nt
Filed under: Enterococcus sp. M321
Lineage: Bacteria; Bacillati; Bacillota; Bacilli; Lactobacillales; Enterococcaceae
Description: bacterial SSU rRNA
Rfam family: Bacterial small subunit ribosomal RNA
Source: RNAcentral
AUGCAGUCGACGCUUCUUUUUCCACCGGAGCUUGCUCCACCGGAAAAAGAGGAGUGGCGAACGGGUGAGUAACACGUGGGUAACCUGCCCAUCAGAAGGGGAUAACACUUGGAAACAGGUGCUAAUACCGUAUAACAAUCGAAACCGCAUGGUUUUGAUUUGAAAGGCGCUUUCGGGUGUCGCUGAUGGAUGGACCCGCGGUGCAUUAGCUAGUUGGUGAGGUAACGGCUCACCAAGGCCACGAUGCAUAGCCGACCUGAGAGGGUGAUCGGCCACAUUGGGACUGAGACACGGCCCAAACUCCUACGGGAGGCAGCAGUAGGGAAUCUUCGGCAAUGGACGAAAGUCUGACCGAGCAACGCCGCGUGAGUGAAGAAGGUUUUCGGAUCGUAAAACUCUGUUGUUAGAGAAGAACAAGGAUGAGAGUAACUGUUCAUCCCUUGACGGUAUCUAACCAGAAAGCCACGGCUAACUACGUGCCAGCAGCCGCGGUAAUACGUAGGUGGCAAGCGUUGUCCGGAUUUAUUGGGCGUAAAGCGAGCGCAGGCGGUUUCUUAAGUCUGAUGUGAAAGCCCCCGGCUCAACCGGGGAGGGUCAUUGGAAACUGGGAGACUUGAGUGCAGAAGAGGAGAGUGGAAUUCCAUGUGUAGCGGUGAAAUGCGUAGAUAUAUGGAGGAACACCAGUGGCGAAGGCGGCUCUCUGGUCUGUAACUGACGCUGAGGCUCGAAAGCGUGGGG